CGGGGCUUCCGCCGCCGGGUUACGGGAACGGCGGCAGCGCGCUCGGGAGGAGGGAGCCGAAAUGAAUGCCACAAGGAAGUUGCAGCCCCUGUCCCAGGCUUACUUCAUGCUUUGUACAGCACCUCUGUGGAGGCAAGAAGUUCCAACGCUGUGGCUGUACAGCCCAAACUGCAGAUGGUGCAGCGAUUGUAUACACACAUCCUUCUGAAAAUUAGGCAAGUAUUUAGAAAUAAUAGAUGUACUGGCAAUCACCUAAAACCGUUUGGGAAAUUAAAGUAAUGCUGAAGUUGCCAAAAAAGAUUAUUUGUGUUGGUAACCUCGGUUUUGCAGAGCACAACAUAAACAAAAACAGUGGCAGAUCAGUUCUCAGGAAGAGCUGAGGCUUCACCAGCUCUUAUCUUCUGUUUCCUGUUGCAGCACGGAGGUGUUGACAUCAUGUUCCUGCACAUGCAAUAUGAAAAAAAAAAGAAAAGCUCAGGGUUCAUCAUUCUGUUUUGGCACAAAUAAAUCAACUUCUGCUCGUUGCUACUGAUUUUCUGCUUUCCUCCGCUGCUGUGGGUGUGUGAGGGGGGCCAGGCAGCCUCUGCAGGUGUUUCACAGCACACCCAGUUUUUGCUCUCUUAUGGCUUUCAAGUGCAGCUUGCAAUAAAAGUUAUUUUUAUUGCUGUUCAGGGGGCUUU
Long non-coding RNA from Prinia subflava (tawny-flanked prinia), 680 nucleotides. RefSeq lists it as uncharacterized. Lineage: Eukaryota; Metazoa; Chordata; Aves; Passeriformes; Cisticolidae. The transcript has 3 exons. The record is from RefSeq and is a predicted model, not a curated record.